Molecule: ribosomal RNA, 434 nt
Filed under: Parribacus antarcticus
Lineage: Eukaryota; Metazoa; Arthropoda; Malacostraca; Decapoda; Scyllaridae
Description: eukaryotic LSU rRNA
Rfam family: Eukaryotic large subunit ribosomal RNA
Source: RNAcentral
UUGCCAGUAGGAUUAGUGGCGAAAGGGAAUACGGUCAUUAUUCCGUAACCAGGACCCGGAUACCUAGCAGGUGUAAGCGCCCUUGCCCCCGGGCAGGGGAGAGCUGCCCUGUGCAGGAGCCCGGUAACGGGAACCAGCUCGCGUUCGUCGGCGGUGGUCCGGGAAAGAGUUUUCUUUUCUGUUUAAGGCGCCGUGACCCUGGAAGCCAUUCGCAGAGAGAAAGGGUGUUUGUAACACGGAAAGCCGUAGAGCGCCGCGGUUCUUGCGGCGUCCCGCGCGCCACCGCCGGCCCGUGAAACAUGCGAGGGAGGUAACUGAGGUAAAGCGGACUCCCCAAAGUCCGCGACACCUACUUCGGGCCAGUGCGUACCCAUAUCCGCAGCCGGUCUCCGAGGUAAGAAGCYCUGGUCGAUAGAUUAAUGUAGGUAAGGGAA